UGGGGAAUAUUGGGCAAUGGGCGCAAGCCUGACCCAGCAACGCCGCGUGAAGGAAGAAGGCUUUCGGGUUGUAAACUUCUUUUAUCAGGGACGAUAAUGACGGUACCUGAUGAAUAAGCUCCGGCUAACUACGUGCCAGCAGCCGCGGUAAUACGUAGGGAGCAAGCGUUAUCCGGAUUUACUGGGUGUAAAGGGCGUGUAGGCGGGACUGCAAGUCAGAUGUGAAAACUAUGGGCUUAACCCAUAGCCUGCAUUUGAAACUGUAGUUCUUGAGUGGUGGAGAGGCAAAUGGAAUUCCUAGUGUAGCGGUGAAAUGCGUAGAUAUUAGGAAGAACACCAGUGGCGAAGGCGAUUUGCUGGACACUAACUGACGCUGAGGCGCGAAAGCGUGGGGAGCAAACAGGAUUAGAUACCCUGGUAGUCCACGCCGUAAACGAUGGAUACUAGGUGUGGGGGGUCUGACCCCCUCCGUGCCGCAGUUAACACAAUAAGUAUCCCACCUGGGGAGUACGAUCGCAAGGUUGAAACUCAAAGGAAUUGACGGGGGCCCGCACAAGCGGUGGAGUAUGUGGUUUAAUUCGAAGCAACGCGAAGAACCUUACCAGGUCUUGACAUCCCGAUGACCGGUGUAGAGAUACACCUUCUCUUCGGAGCAUCGGUGACAGGUGGUGCAUGGUUGUCGUCAGCUCGUGUCGUGAGAUGUUGGGUUAAGUCCCGCAACGAGCGCAACCCUUGUUGCUAGUUGCUACGCAAGAGCACUCUAGCGAUACUGCCGUUGACAAAACGGAGGAAGGUGGGGACGACGUCAAAUCAUCAUGCCCCUUAUGACCUGGGCCACACACGUACUACAAUGGCGGUUAACAGAGGGAAGCAAUACCGCGAGGUGGAGCAAAUCCCUAAAAGCCGUCCCAGUUCGGAUUGCAGGCUGCAACCCGCCUGCAUGAAGUCGGAAUCGCUAGUAAUCGCGGAUCAGCAUGCCGCGGUGAAUACGUUCCC
RNAcentral lists this ribosomal RNA (996 nucleotides) under uncultured bacterium. RNAcentral describes it as "bacterial SSU rRNA". It matches the Rfam family "Bacterial small subunit ribosomal RNA", at positions 355 to 1375 of the family's 1533-position model. The record is from RNAcentral.